This 512-nucleotide ribosomal RNA is filed under the name uncultured bacterium. Its description in RNAcentral is "bacterial SSU rRNA". It matches the Rfam family "Bacterial small subunit ribosomal RNA", at positions 8 to 518 of the family's 1533-position model. The record is from RNAcentral.
AGAAUUGAUCUGGUUCAGGAUGAACGCUAGCUACAGGCCUAACACAUGCAAGUCGAGGGGCAGCAGAUCGAAAGCUUGCUUUGAUGCUGGCGACCGGCGAAUGGGUGAGUCACGCGUGUCCAACCUGCCCUGUGCCCGGGGAUAGCCCUUGGAAAUGAGGAUUAACACCCGAUAGGUGGCGCUUCCGCAUGGCGGCGCCAUGAAACCGACACAGGAUGGGGACGCGUCGGAUUAGCUUGACGGCGGGGCGACGGCCCACCGUGGCGACGAUCCGCAGGGUUCUGAGAGGAAGGUCCCCCCACACUGGCACUGAGACACGGGCCAGACUCCUACGGGAGGCAGCAGUGAGGAAUAUUGGUCAAUGGCCGAGAGGCUGAACCAGCCAAGUAAGCGUGCAGGACGACGGCCCUACGGGUUGUAAACUGCUUUUGCGGGAGGAUAAAGGACACUACGUGUAGUGUUUUGCAGGUAUCCCGUGAAUAAGGACCGGCUAAUUCCGUGCCAGCAGCGGC